Non-coding RNA from Triticum aestivum (bread wheat), 135 nucleotides. The record is from Rfam. NCBI's taxonomy places the organism in Eukaryota, Viridiplantae, Streptophyta, Magnoliopsida, Poales, Poaceae.
AAAGUACUCCCUCCGUCCCAAAAUUCUUGUCUUAGAUUUGUCUAGAUAUGGAUGUAUCAAGUCACAUUUUAGUAUUAGAUACAUCCGUAUCUAGACAAAUCUAAGACAAGAAAUUUGGGACAGAGGGAGUAGUUG